RNAcentral lists this transfer RNA (83 nucleotides) under Bos taurus (domestic cattle). It matches the Rfam family "tRNA". Rfam says of the family: Transfer RNA (tRNA) molecules are approximately 80 nucleotides in length. Their secondary structure includes four short double-helical elements and three loops (D, anti-codon, and T loops). The record is from Rfam by way of RNAcentral. RNAcentral also lists the same sequence under 3 other names. Lineage: Eukaryota; Metazoa; Chordata; Mammalia; Artiodactyla; Bovidae.
UCCCCAGUGGCUCAGUGGUAAGAGAAUUUGCCUGAAAUGCAAGAGAUGCUCAGGAGACCCCGGUUCAAUUCCUGGAUUGGGAA